GGGGAAUAUUGCACAAUGGGCGCAAGCCUGAUGCAGCCAUGCCGCGUGUAUGAAGAAGGCCUUCGGGUUGUAAAGUACUUUCAGUCGGGAGGAAGGUGUCAAGGUUAAUAACCUUGGCAAUUGACGUUACCGACAGAAGAAGCACCGGCUAACUCCGUGCCAGCAGCCGCGGUAAUACGGAGGGUGCAAGCGUUAAUCGGAAUUACUGGGCGUAAAGCGCACGCAGGCGGUUGAUUGAGUCAGAUGUGAAAUCCCCGGGCUUAACCCGGGAAUUGCAUCUGAUACUGGUCAGCUAGAGUCUUGUAGAGGGGGGUAGAAUUCCAUGUGUAGCGGUGAAAUGCGUAGAGAUGUGGAGGAAUACCGGUGGCGAAGGCGGCCCCCUGGACAAAGACUGACGCUCAGGUGCGAAAGCGUGGGGAGCAAAC
RNAcentral lists this ribosomal RNA (425 nucleotides) under uncultured bacterium. RNAcentral describes it as "bacterial SSU rRNA". It matches the Rfam family "Bacterial small subunit ribosomal RNA", at positions 356 to 773 of the family's 1533-position model. The record is from RNAcentral.